This 425-nucleotide ribosomal RNA is filed under the name uncultured bacterium. RNAcentral's name for it is "bacterial SSU rRNA". It matches the Rfam family "Bacterial small subunit ribosomal RNA", at positions 359 to 776 of the family's 1533-position model. The record is from RNAcentral.
GAAUUUUGGACAAUGGGGGCAACCCUGAUCCAGCCAUGCCGCGUGAGUGAAGAAGGCCUUCGGGUUGUAAAGCUCUUUCGGCCGGGAAGAAAUCGGCGACUCUAACAUAGUCGCUGGAUGACGGUACCGGAUUAAGAAGCACCGGCUAACUACGUUCCAGCAGCCGCGGUAAUACGUAGGGUGCGAGCGUUAAUCGGAAUUACUGGGCGUAAAGCGUGCGCAGGCGGUUUUGUAAGACAGAUGUGAAAUCCCCGGGCUUAACCUGGGAACUGCGUUUGUGACUGCAAGGCUAGAGUACGGCAGAGGGGGGUGGAAUUCCUGGUGUAGCAGUGAAAUGCGUAGAUAUCAGGAGGAACACCGAUGGCGAAGGCAGCCCCCUGGGCCUGUACUGACGCUCAUGCACGAAAGCGUGGGGAGCAAACAGG